ACUAGGUUAAUUGAUGGGUGUAUUCUCAGAAAUAAAUCAGUUUCCAGGAAAUUCAGUGAAGCUUUGAGUAAGUUGAAAAGUUUUCAUCUCUUUUAUGGUGAUUUUAGUGACUAUUUUUCUUCUAAUGAUACAACCAAACAUGCUAAGGAAAUAAAGCUAAAUUCCUUACAGUAAUUUCACACAUCCUAAUAAUGACAGAAGCACUAGAAUUUACACUUUUCACAAGUCAGUCUUACUACAUGUCUUUAUACUUUGGCUUUCUGCAGAAUUUGCUAGCAACUGUUCCUGAUAGAAUGAUUCAUCCCAUGUGACUCAUUUUCAACUGCAGGCCACAGUUCUUUAUUCCGACCUGCAUUCAUCUGCUCUGCCAAUGAAUAGGCAGAAGUCAUGGAGGGAGGAACCUUUCCCAUCAUCCAGUGAACUGAUGCCAGAAGUGAGCCUGUCUGCGGCGAGUGAACAGCAAGCAGAAGGGGCACUUUGGAAUAACAAAGAAUGGGCACGUUUGCAUCUUUGGUGAACAAUCUGAAUGAAGCGGAUCCAUUUCUCAGUAAAGGUCAUGCUUAGUAGUGGCUACAGGGAGUUGCUGAGUACAGGUGCUUGCUCUGCCAUUCUGCAGUUUGAAGAUCUCUAACUGGGAAAUAUCUUUCUGUGGUGGCCUGUCUUGGUUUCUGUAACACUAAGACGGUGCAGAAAACAAUCUGUGGAUCUACACAAGGAACAGAAUACAUGAAAAACCAGGGUCAGGAUAAGUGUGUGUUACUGCCAGGUAAGCCAGUGGUUUAAUGUAAUUGCAAAUUUGGCAUAUAUUGUUAGCAAAAUUGGGUGAGCAGCUGUCUGGAUGUGAUAGGAUCAUUUUCCCCUCACAUUUUCUUAGAUAAUACUAUUAUUCAAUAUCUGUCUGAGUGAGAAAUGACUUGGGGUUAGUUUGACUUCAGAUUUGAAUGUUGCGACUUACUCUUGAACCUGUAUUUCCUCAGUUUUCCAUGUGCUUCCUGUCUUUAUUCAAAGCCAAGGCCUGAAGUUCCAAACAGAAAACCACAGGAAAAGCUGCUCUGGUAAUGUUUGCCUUGAGCAGAAAUGAAUAGCAAGAGAUAUUUCCUGCAAAAUCUUCUUUUUUGUGGUGAAUGUAGCCUGGAUUCCUGACCAAAGAGUCUGGCUAAAUCUGCCUGGCUUCAGAUAAGAUUGUAUCAGUUAUAGAUUCUUAGUUGAAACGUGUCUUUCAGUUUACUGUCUUCAGGAUUUUUUUGAUCCCAUUUCACAAAUACUUUUUCCCUUCACUGGACUAUUUUAUUUCUUGAAAGGGGGUGAAUGGAAACUUCUGUUAUACUUUUUGCAAUUCUGUUAUGAAGUAAUACUCUGGGCAGAGUAUUACUGCUUACACAGAGCAAGGCAAGGAAUCCCAGCA
This 1405-nucleotide long non-coding RNA is filed under the name Strigops habroptila (Kakapo). RNAcentral describes it as "lncRNA (ENSSHBG00005017745.1)". Lineage: Eukaryota; Metazoa; Chordata; Aves; Psittaciformes; Psittacidae. The record is from RNAcentral.